RNAcentral lists this ribosomal RNA (333 nucleotides) under uncultured bacterium. RNAcentral describes it as "bacterial SSU rRNA". It matches the Rfam family "Bacterial small subunit ribosomal RNA", at positions 29 to 342 of the family's 1533-position model. The record is from RNAcentral.
AACGAACGCUGGCGGCGUGCUUAAGACAUGCAAGUCGUGCGAGAAAGUUCCUUCGGGAGCGAGUAAAGCGGCGCACGGGUGAGUAACGCGUGGGUAAUCUGCCCGAUGGACUGGGAUAACCCCGGGAAACUGGAGCUAAUACCAGAUAAGACCACGGAGUCUACGGACUUCGGCGGAAAAAGGGUGGCCUCUGCUUGCAAGCUACUACCAACGGAUGAGCCUGCGUCCCAUUAGCAGUUGGCGGGGUAACGGCCCACCAAGGCGAAGAUGGGUAGCUGGUCUGAGAGGGACGACCAGCCACACUGGAACUGAGACACGGUCCAGGCUCCGUAC